This 479-nucleotide ribosomal RNA is filed under the name Fusarium incarnatum. Its description in RNAcentral is "partial 18S ribosomal RNA". The stretch from base 131 to 284 matches the Rfam family "5.8S ribosomal RNA". Lineage: Eukaryota; Fungi; Ascomycota; Sordariomycetes; Hypocreales; Nectriaceae. The record is from RNAcentral.
AACCCCUGUGACAUACCUAUACGUUGCCUCGGCGGAUCAGCCCGCGCCCCGUAAAACGGGACGGCCCGCCCGAGGACCCCUAAACUCUGUUUUUAGUGGAACUUCUGAGUAAAACAAACAAAUAAAUCAAAACUUUCAACAACGGAUCUCUUGGUUCUGGCAUCGAUGAAGAACGCAGCAAAAUGCGAUAAGUAAUGUGAAUUGCAGAAUUCAGUGAAUCAUCGAAUCUUUGAACGCACAUUGCGCCCGCCAGUAUUCUGGCGGGCAUGCCUGUUCGAGCGUCAUUUCAACCCUCAAGCUCAGCUUGGUGUUGGGACUCGCGGUAACCCGCGUUCCCCAAAUCGAUUGGCGGUCACGUCGAGCUUCCAUAGCGUAGUAAUCAUACACCUCGUUACUGGUAAUCGUCGCGGCCACGCCGUAAAACCCCAACUUCUGAAUGUUGACCUCGGAUCAGGUAGGAAUACCCGCUGAACUUCAGC